CUUGCACUUGGAAAAAGAGAUGAUGUUGAAUGUUGCAGUUCAGAAAAUUGAAAGAGUAAUACCCUCCAAUUCCUUGGAUGAUGUAACAGAAAUAUCAGUGGNCAAAACUUGUCACCACCUCAAGUAGUAGUGGACUGACUCUUUUGAGUUAAUUUCUUUCCUUGUUCUCCCCUUCUUGCUUGUCUUUGUAAAAUUCUUGUAACUUCGGCCACGGAGUUGGAUAUUGACGCAGAUUUGGUAUCUAACAAAACCGAAUGGCAAUAAAGA
RNAcentral lists this unclassified non-coding RNA (267 nucleotides) under Hevea brasiliensis (rubber tree). The record is from RNAcentral. Lineage: Eukaryota; Viridiplantae; Streptophyta; Magnoliopsida; Malpighiales; Euphorbiaceae.